AUUGAACGCUGGCGGCAUGCCUUACACAUGCAAGUCGAACGGUAGCGCGGGGUAACCUGGCGACGAGUGGCGAACGGGUGAGUAAUGCAUCGGAACGUGCCCUGGGAAUGGGGGAUAACGUAGCGAAAGUUACGCUAAUACCGCAUAUUCUGUGAGCAGGAAAGCAGGGGAUCGCAAGACCUUGCGUUCUGGGAGCGGCCGAUGUCGGAUUAGCUAGUUGGUGGGGUAAAGGCCUACCAAGGCGACGAUCCGUAGCGGGUCUGAGAGGAUGAUCCGCCACACUGGGACUGAGACACGGCCCAGACUCCUACGGGAGGCAGCAGUGGGGAAUUUUGGACAAUGGGCGGAAGACCUGAUCCAGCCAUGCCGCGUGAGUGAAGAAGGCCUGGUUCGUAAGUACGUC
This 403-nucleotide ribosomal RNA is filed under the name uncultured bacterium. RNAcentral describes it as "bacterial SSU rRNA". It matches the Rfam family "Bacterial small subunit ribosomal RNA", at positions 29 to 436 of the family's 1533-position model. The record is from RNAcentral.